UACGAAUGUGGCGAGCGUUGUUCGGAAUCACUGGGCGUAAAGAGUACGUAGGCGGCUUGAUAAGUCAGGAGUGAAAUCCCCGGGCUCAACCCGGGAAUUGCUUUUGAAACUAUCUGGCUAGAAUGUCGGAGAGGUUGGCGGAAUUCCAAGUGUAGAGGUGAAAUUCGCAGAUAUUUGGAGGAACACCAGUGGCGUAAGCGGCCAACUGGACGACUAUUGACGCUGAGGUACGAAAGCGUGGGGAUCAAACAGG
RNAcentral lists this ribosomal RNA (253 nucleotides) under uncultured bacterium. RNAcentral describes it as "partial 16S ribosomal RNA". It matches the Rfam family "Bacterial small subunit ribosomal RNA", at positions 524 to 776 of the family's 1533-position model. The record is from RNAcentral.